GACAUACAAAAUUCUCAAAAAAAAAAAAAAUUUGUCUGAAAACUACCCAUUCCUCUAGUUUUUUCAUACCCAUGUUUUAUUUUUAAAAUAAAAAACCUCUUACAUAUUUUGAGUUUGCCAUGUGUUUUGGAUUGAAUAAAAUUUGAAGAAUGAUGGUGACAAGAAUUUACAAAUCUUCAAUUUUUUAGUUGUUUCUUUACUUGAUGAGUUAUUGCGAAAGAUGAUUUAAAAAUGACUUCAAAUGA
Molecule: long non-coding RNA, 245 nt
Filed under: Capsicum annuum
Lineage: Eukaryota; Viridiplantae; Streptophyta; Magnoliopsida; Solanales; Solanaceae
Description: long non-coding RNA (CANN_LNC009547)
Source: RNAcentral